RNAcentral lists this ribosomal RNA (451 nucleotides) under uncultured bacterium. RNAcentral describes it as "bacterial SSU rRNA". It matches the Rfam family "Bacterial small subunit ribosomal RNA", at positions 354 to 796 of the family's 1533-position model. The record is from RNAcentral.
GUCGGGAAUUUUGGGCAAUGGGGGAAACCCUGACCCAGCAACGCCGCGUGAGGGAUGAAGGCCCUCGGGUCGUAAACCUCUGUCGGAAGGGAAGAAAGGCCUCCGUUCGAACAGGGCGGGGGCUCGACGGUACCUUCAAAGGAAGCACCGGCUAACUCCGUGCCAGCAGCCGCGGUAAUACGGAGGGUGCAAGCGUUGUUCGGAAUCACUGGGCGUAAAGCGCGUGUAGGCGGCUUGGCAAGUCGAGUGUGAAAUCCCAGGGCUCAACCCUGGAACUGCACCCGAAACUGCCUCGCUGGAGUCCCGGAGAGGGUGGCGGAAUUUCCGGUGUAGAGGUGAAAUUCGUAGAUACCGGAAGGAACACCAGUGGCGAAGGCGGCCACCUGGACGGUGACUGACGCUGAGACGCGAAAGCGUGGGGAGCAAACAGGAUUAGAAACCCCAGUAGUCC